AAAUAUGGACUUUCCGUGUAAUAUUGGAGGCUUAUUAAAAAGCACUGCAAUAUAGCGUAGUUACAGCUAAAAAGACCGAGCCACUUAAAUAUUUUAUUCUGUGAAAUAUUUCAAAACUCCCACGACUCCCACUGUACUUCUGCAAACCCCUAACCUAUCGCAACUGAAAAUAUGAAAUUGCCACAAUUGUGCGCUCAAUCUCUCUAAUCUCUCUGAAUAUCAUUCUCAAAUUUUUACUUGAAGAAUCCUUAACAUUGAAUCCGUUUCCUUUUUGCUGAAUUUUCCCUUUUAAUUUGCUCAAUUCGUCAAUUCUAUUUGAGAAUUUCAAUCGACCCAUACAAAUUCGAAUUUCCCAUUCUAAGGUCUAAUUUCAUUAUUCUCGAAAAAAUUCUUGUCAAAAAGAAAGAGAUUCAGAAAAGAGGCUAAUUUCAGGGUGUUGAAGCUUCGCCUAGGGCUAACGACAAUGACACUUAUCGUAGAGAUUAGUUAUUACGUUACUAAGAUCUUUAAUUGAAGGUUAUGCUUUGGCAACUUCAAAGUUGGAACAUGAAGGCAAUUUUAAAGCACCAAUAUUUUGUCUUAUAAAAUAUAACUUAUAUUUGCAUAGUUUUGGUUUAGGAAUAAAUUACAUUCUAGCUAUUGAACGUUUGGUUUUUUUAUGUAGGAAUUUAGAUGGUUAUUUGUUUAAAUGAUUUUAGGUACUUUAUUUCAAUGUUUCUUGUUUGAUGACAUUUGUGACUAUAAUUUAUUUUUAAUUAAAUUUUUAGUGUUUGCAAUUUUAUUAUGUAAAAAACAAGUUAGCAACGCUCUAAAUGUGCUAUAAAUGCUAUUACAGAA
Molecule: long non-coding RNA, 837 nt
Organism: Chenopodium quinoa (quinoa)
Lineage: Eukaryota; Viridiplantae; Streptophyta; Magnoliopsida; Caryophyllales; Amaranthaceae
Exons: 4
Source: RefSeq, a predicted model, not a curated record